Mus musculus (house mouse) is the source of this 439-nucleotide long non-coding RNA. RefSeq annotates it as predicted gene, 46239. The record is from RefSeq and is a predicted model, not a curated record. The transcript has 2 exons. Lineage: Eukaryota; Metazoa; Chordata; Mammalia; Rodentia; Muridae.
CAAAAACAAAAAAGGGAGAGCAUAGCCAGACUGAUGUCUGGGAAAGUCCAGAGUGGACAUGACCAGACUUGAGUUGGGCUACGUGAGGAGAGGGGGAGGGGAAAGGAGACAGGAGAACCAGGUGCAGCAGCCCGGAAGCCCAGAGAAGCGUAAAAGGCCAUGUAACCAAAACGGUUGGAUUAUACAGGGGAGGGCAGCCCAGCCGCCAGGAUGGAGAAGUUUAAGGCAACCCCUGUGAAAGGAUCGUUUGACCAUCCCCAAAGGCACUGCAAGCGCAACCCACAAGCUGAAAAAGCAAUGUUCUCCAUGAUGAGUUAGAGUCUAUGGGCUAUGAGACAGCCUGCGAACCAGCCCUGUGCUAUGAGAAGGGAGGGAAAAUACGUUAAGGAAAAAUGUGAUUGCAGAAAACCUAAUAAAGAUACCAGGAAUGGUUUUGUGC